This 480-nucleotide ribosomal RNA is filed under the name uncultured bacterium. RNAcentral's name for it is "partial 16S ribosomal RNA". It matches the Rfam family "Bacterial small subunit ribosomal RNA", at positions 28 to 523 of the family's 1533-position model. The record is from RNAcentral.
GACGAACGCUGGCGGCGUGCCUAACACAUGCAAGUCGAGCGAGUUGAUUCUCUUCGGAGAUGAAGCUAGCGGCGGACGGGUGAGUAACACGUGGGCAACCUGCCUCAUAGAGGGGAAUAGCCUCCCGAAAGGGAGAUUAAUACCGCAUAAGAUUGUAGCUUCGCAUGAAGUAGCAAUUAAAGGAGUAAUCCGCUAUGAGAUGGGCCCGCGGCGCAUUAGCUAGUUGGUGAGGUAACGGCUCACCAAGGCGACGAUGCGUAGCCGACCUGAGAGGGUGAUCGGCCACAUUGGGACUGAGACACGGCCCAGACUCCUACGGGAGGCAGCAGUGGGGAAUAUUGCACAAUGGGGGAAACCCUGAUGCAGCAACGCCGCGUGAGUGAUGACGGCCUUCGGGUUGUAAAGCUCUGUCUUCAGGGACGAUAAUGACGGUACCUGAGGAGGAAGCCACGGCUAACUACGUGCCAGCCGCCGCUGUAA